CUACGGGGGGCAGCAGUGAGGAAUUUUGCGCAAUGGGGGGAGCCCUGACGCAGCGACGCCACGUGAGUGAUGAAGGCCUUUGGGUCGUAAAGCUCUGUCAGUGGGAAAGAAGUUAUGUGAGGUUAAUAGCCUUAUAUAUUGACGGUACCCACAAAGGAAGCACCGGCUAACUCCGUGCCAGCAGCCGCGGUAAUACGGGGGGUGCAAGCGUUAAUCGGAAUUAUUGGGCGUAAAGGGAGUGCAGGCUGUGGAAUAGGUCAGAUGUGAAAUCCCGGGGCUUAACCCUGGAAGAGCAUUUGAAACCAUUUUACUUGAGUAUGGGAGAGGGUAGUGGAAUUCCUGGUGUAGAGGUGAAAUUCGUAGAUAUCAGGAGGAACACCAGUGGCGAAGGCGGCUACCUGGACCAAUACUGACGCUGAGACUCGAAGGCGUGGGUAGCAAACAGGAUUAGAUACCCUGGUAGUC
Molecule: ribosomal RNA, 465 nt
Filed under: uncultured bacterium
Lineage: Bacteria
Description: partial 16S ribosomal RNA
Rfam family: Bacterial small subunit ribosomal RNA
Source: RNAcentral